Molecule: long non-coding RNA, 268 nt
Organism: Drosophila obscura
Lineage: Eukaryota; Metazoa; Arthropoda; Insecta; Diptera; Drosophilidae
Exons: 2
Source: RefSeq, a predicted model, not a curated record
GUCCGAGACCGAAUCGGAGGAGGGGGUGGAGCGACCCGAAGACUACAGGAAGAUCGAAAUGAAUUAAGUUUUAAAGCACUUAUAACUAUUCAAUUUAAGAACGAGUGGCAUUCAAAGAAGAGCAUGAGCCACGACGCAGUCAGUAAAGAUAUAUGUAUAUUGUUUCCAAAUUCAAUACUAUAGAAGGAAUUUAAAACUGAAUUUUUAAUUUUUAACACUUGACACACACUUACAUAUGUAUUCCAUAAAUAAUAUAUUGAUAACAAUA